GGAGAAUUGCUUGAACCUGGGAGAUGGAGGUUGCAGUGAGCUGAGAUCACGCCACUGCACUCCAGCCUGGG
RNAcentral lists this microRNA precursor (71 nucleotides) under Colobus angolensis palliatus. RNAcentral's name for it is "miRNA (ENSCANG00000001286.1)". The record is from RNAcentral. Lineage: Eukaryota; Metazoa; Chordata; Mammalia; Primates; Cercopithecidae.